UCCGCCCACCCCAGGCGCGCAUGCGUGCUUCGCCCGACCAGGAGCCGGGAGCCAUGGCACGGCCGGGCGCGGGGCGAGCGCGGUACUUGCUGCUUCUGGCGCAGGAGAACUUGGCUUUCCGGCUGCCGGAAAUAAAAACGUUGGUUUCCCUCUGUGGUGGACAAUUGAGCAGUCAGCAGGAACUACGCCUAAAUUCUCCAUUUUGGAUUCUUAGCCUACCUUCAGAAGAUAUAGCUAAAGGACUAAUGAAACGAACAGUAUGUGCAAAAUCUAUAUUUGAGCUGUGGGGCCAUGGAAAAUCUACAGAUGAGCUGUACUCUUCAUUGAAGAAUUAUCCACUAGAGAAUAUGGCUCCGUAUUUACAGUCCAAUUUAACAUACAAAAUAAAGGUUCAUGCUUUUAACAAAACACUGACACAAGAAGAAAAAAUUCAAAGGAUAGAUUCUCUAGAGUUUUUGCCGUUUGAAGGAAAAGUGAAUUUAAAGAAACCGGACAAUAUAUUUUGGUUAUUAGAAGACUAUGGAAUGGAUCCAAACAAUAUUCCCGAGCAUCCUAUUUAUUUAUAUUUUGGGAGAUGGAUUGCCAAUGGACAAAGGGAUCUCAUUGAAUCAUAUAGUGUAAAAAAGAGACAUUUUAUUGGGAAUACAAGCAUGGAUGCUUGUUUAGCUUUUAUCAUGGCCAACCACGGGAGAGUAAAACCAAAUGAUGUUGUAUUCGAUCCAUUUGUCGGAACAGGUGGACUUCUUAUAGCAUCAGCACACUUUGGAGCUUAUGUAUUUGGAACGGAUAUAGAUUAUAGCACAGUACAUGGACUGGGCAAAGCUAGCCGGAAGAACCAAAAGUGGAGAGGUCCAGAUGAAAAUAUCAGAGCCAACCUUCGACAGUAUGGUUUGGAAAAGCACUACCUUGAUGCAUUUGUUUCUGAUGCAUCAAGGCCCAUAUGGAGGAAGGGAGCACAGUUUGAUGCAAUAAUCACGGACCCUCCCUAUGGAAUUCGAGAAGCCACCAGAAGAACUGGUUCACAAAAGGAGAUGGCUAAAAUGACAGAAAGAGGAACUGAAAAUCACAUCUCCAUUUCUUCAAAUUAUCAUCUGAGCGAUAUCCUUUUUGACCUGUUAAAAUUUGCGGCUGAACACCUGGUGAUUGGAGGAAGAUUGGUUUACUGGCUUCCUAUAUAUAAACCAGAAUAUACAGAAGAGAUUAUACCCCGGCACCCAUGUCUGAAACUGAUUAGCAACUGUGAGCAGACACUUUCCAGCCACACGUCUAGAUACCUGAUAACCAUGGAAAAGGUGAAAGAAUUCGAGUGUCUUCUGGCAUUGGGAGUUGGAUGGCACCUGAUUCCAGAACUCUCAGUCUGCUUUCUGUUUCCCUGCACUGCUGCAAUGAAGUACCACGAGCAACCACCAGAAGUGUCCUUACAUCAUGUGAUGGCCUCCAUGUGAUUCCAUUUUGGCAGCACAGAGAAAUGGAGCAAAGACUGAGUGGAAUGAAGUCCCAAGGCAGGGAUUUUGUUUUAAUUAUGUUGAACUUAUUCUAUUCUCUGUGCUGGACAAUAAGGAAGGCUGAGUGAAGGAAGAUAGACUCUUUUGAACUGUGGUGUUGGAGGAAAAUUCUGAGAGUGCUUUGGACCGCAAGAAGAUCCAACCAGUCCAUACUCCAGGAAAUAAUGCCCAACUGCUCACUGGAUGGAAGGAUACUUUGGCCACAUAAUAAGAAGACAGGGAAGCUUGGAGAAGAUAAUGAUGCUGGGGAAAAUGGAAAGAAAAGGAAGAGGGGCCAACCAAGGGCAAGAUGGAUGGAUGGUAUCAUUGAAGUGACUAGCUUGACCUUGAAGGAGCUGGGGUGGCUACGGCUGACAGGAAGCUCUGGCAUGGGCUGGUCCGUGAGGUCACAAAGAGUCAGAAGCAACUGAGCGAAUAAACAGCAACAUUCUCUGUGCUGGUCUCUGGUAAAGAACAAUGAAACUAUGAAUUUGGAACUUUGGAACAUCCUCAUUAAUUAGGUGCAACUUAAAGAAAUAAAAGUCCAUAGUAAUUUCUGCAUGUAGUCAGAAAAAAAACAAAUACCUGUUUCAGGAGUCUCAAACUGACACUGAUACAUAUUUCGUAAGUCAAGGUCCCUCCCAUUUCUAAAACAGUUUAUAGAUGAAGUAGCACAGAUCCCUUCAUAUUACUCCAACAAACUUCCACCUAUCGUCCACGCUACUUCAUUUGUGAAGUGCUUCAGAAGUGUAGGAAAACGGGGGAAAUUGAGCCGGGGAAAAAUUGUCUUUUGAGCUCCCAAUACGCAUGGAAACAAGAUAAAACAAGAUUAACACGUGGGUUGGGAUCUUUAAGAAUGAUUCUUUAUGUCUCCUUGAGAGUAAGGGGCUUGAGAGGGAAAGUAAAGCAAUCCAUAGAUGUGGUGUCUGCCUUAAGGAAGUUAUCUUGUGUCUCCAUGGAUGAUUGAACUAGAGGUAGGAGGAAGUGAUCCUGGGUAAGUAAAUUCUCAGUCUUAUUUAAAGAUGGAAUCUCACACAAAGAAGAAGAUUUUCCCGCUUUCCCCAGCUCCAUCUGAUGAAGUUCUUAGCACAAAAGUGCAAUGGUGCUAUGGUAAAGUUUUGGCAGAUGGCAGUUUUGUACAAUAACACCAUAACAACAUUCAGGAGAACAGCUGCCCUACAAUCUAUAGAACUACUUCCCCAAACCAUACAACCUUGGAAAUGUCCUAGUGCAGACACAAGAAAUUGCUACAAACAGCCCCCACUCCCAAAAUAAUGGAAUGAAUAGAUGGAGAAGUAACAUUAAUUUGAAAAACCCAGAAAACCCAAGGAGCAAUUUCAUGAGAUUUCAUGAUUUUUAAAGCCAUUAUGAAUGAAUGUUCAGUAUGAACUGCUGGCUGCAACAUAGCUGUUAAGAACAUAAAAAAAACAAAGAACAUAGAAAAAGCCAGACAAUUGGUCCAUUUCAGCCCAUCUUCUCUUGUGGGUUUUAGGCAGGAAUCUUCCCAGCCAUGCCUGGUGUUGCCAAGGGUUAAACCUGGGAGAGAAAAGCCCAUCUUGUACUUUGUCUUUGACAGUAAAGUAUACGAGGCCAACUCUAGAAAAGAGAGAAACAGAAUACACAUGGCGAAAUUUAAAUGUAGACUAGUUAUUUGAUCCAGCAGGUAGAAAUGGACAAGUGUGUCAGGACCCAUGUUUCCCGGGCCUUCACAUUGGCGCCGGGAAUCAGGCCCCUGACAUUCCCGCACAUUCCUGGACUGAUAAGCAGGCCGGGGCCGGCCUUGAGACACCAACGGACAAAGGGGGUUUUUGGCGGGCACUAUGCGCGGGUUUUUCACCGAGCGGGAAUUGCAUGUUUGAAUGUGGGAGGAGGGUAUAUAAAGGGACCCGAGGGCAUCACCCAGCACUCUUGGCUUCUUAUGCGUCAGUUAUCCUUCAGUAAACGUUCACCUUGUUUA
This is an RNA transcript of Anolis carolinensis (green anole), 3441 nucleotides long. It is a transcript of the gene named tRNA methyltransferase 11 homolog, with no coding region annotated. Lineage: Eukaryota; Metazoa; Chordata; Lepidosauria; Squamata; Anolidae. The transcript is spliced from 14 exons. The record is from RefSeq and is a predicted model, not a curated record.